GGAGGAUGCGAGCGUUAUCCGGAUUUAUUGGGUUUAAAGGGUGCGUAGGCGGAUUGAUAAGUUAGAGGUGAAAUGUCCGAGCUCAACUCGGGAACUGCCUCUAAUACUGUUGAUCUAGAGAGUAGAUGCGGUAGGCGGAAUGUAUGGUGUAGCGGUGAAAUGCUUAGAGAUCAUACAGAACACCGAUUGCGAAGGCAGCUUACCAAGCUACUUCUGACGUUGAGGCACGAAAGCGUGGGGAGCAAA
This 246-nucleotide ribosomal RNA is filed under the name uncultured bacterium. Its description in RNAcentral is "partial 16S ribosomal RNA". It matches the Rfam family "Bacterial small subunit ribosomal RNA", at positions 527 to 772 of the family's 1533-position model. The record is from RNAcentral.